GAUGAACGCUGGCGGCGUGCCUAAUACAUGCGAGUCGAGCGAACAGACGAGGAGCUUGCUCCUCUGACGUUAGCGGCGGACGGGUGAGUAACACGUGGAUAACCUACCUAUAAGACUGGGAUAACUUCGGGAAACCGGAGCUAAUACCGGAUAAUAUAUUGAACCGCAUGGUUCAAUAGUGAAAGACGGUUUUGCUGUCACUUAUAGAUGGAUCCGCGCCGCAUUAGCUAGUUGGUAAGGUAACGGCUUACCAAGGCAACGAUGCGUAGCCGACCUGAGAGGGUGACCGGCCACACUGGAACUGAGACACGGUCCAGACUCCUACGGGAGGCAGCAGUAGGGAAUCUUCCGCAAUGGGCGAAAGCCUGACGGAGCAACGCCGCGUGAGUGAUGAAGGUCUUCGGAUCGUAAAACUCUGUUAUUAGGGAAGAACAAAUAUGUAAGUAAUUAUGCACGUCUUGACGGUACCUAAUCAGAAAGCCACGGCUAACUACGUG
Molecule: ribosomal RNA, 497 nt
Filed under: uncultured bacterium
Lineage: Bacteria
Description: partial 16S ribosomal RNA
Rfam family: Bacterial small subunit ribosomal RNA
Source: RNAcentral